CCGCGGCUCCGACCCCGGAUUCGCGGCGUCGCUGUCAAAGUGUCCGAACUGCGUGUCGUCCACGUAGCCGCCGGCGAUGACGCGGGGCUCCCCAACGCCGGGCCGGGACACGGCGAGGCCGUUUCCCUCCUGACCACACACUCACCCGCCCGGGUCUGGGUCAGGGGCAGGGUCCCGGAGAGCAACAAGAGGAGGAUCUGGGAAGCCAUUAGCAUGAUCACUGGAGUCUGGGGAGACUGAGUUCCAGUGGGUCCGUGCGCCCCUUAUAACCGGGAACCGAGGAGACACUGA
Loxodonta africana (African savanna elephant) is the source of this 291-nucleotide long non-coding RNA. RefSeq lists it as uncharacterized. The record is from RefSeq and is a predicted model, not a curated record. Lineage: Eukaryota; Metazoa; Chordata; Mammalia; Proboscidea; Elephantidae. The transcript has 2 exons.